RNAcentral lists this ribosomal RNA (2905 nucleotides) under Enterobacter cloacae. RNAcentral's name for it is "23S ribosomal RNA". It matches the Rfam family "Bacterial large subunit ribosomal RNA". The record is from RNAcentral. Lineage: Bacteria; Pseudomonadati; Pseudomonadota; Gammaproteobacteria; Enterobacterales; Enterobacteriaceae.
GGUUAAGCGACUAAGCGUACACGGUGGAUGCCCUGGCAGUCAGAGGCGAUGAAGGACGUGCUAAUCUGCGAAAAGCGACGGCGAGGUGAUAUGAACCUUUGACCCGUCGAUGUCCGAAUGGGGAAACCCAGUGCAAUCCGUUGCACUAUCGUUAACUGAAUACAUAGGUUAACGAGGCGAACCGGGGGAACUGAAACAUCUAAGUACCCCGAGGAAAAGAAAUCAACCGAGAUUCCCCCAGUAGCGGCGAGCGAACGGGGAGCAGCCCGGAGUCUGAAUCAGCUUGUGUGUUAGUGGAACGGUCUGGAAAGUCCGACGGUACAGGGUGAUAGUCCCGUACACGAAAACACACUUGUUGUGAACUCGAAGAGUAGGGCGGGACACGUGGUAUCCUGUCUGAAUAUGGGGGGACCAUCCUCCAAGGCUAAAUACUCCUGACUGACCGAUAGUGAACCAGUACCGUGAGGGAAAGGCGAAAAGAACCCCGGCGAGGGGAGUGAAAAAGAACCUGAAACCGUGUACGUACAAGCAGUGGGAGCCUCUUUAUGGGGUGACUGCGUACCUUUUGUAUAAUGGGUCAGCGACUUAUAUUCUGUAGCAAGGUUAACCGUAUAGGGGAGCCGAAGGGAAACCGAGUCUUAACUGGGCGUUAAGUUGCAGGGUAUAGACCCGAAACCCGGUGAUCUAGCCAUGGGCAGGUUGAAGGUUGGGUAACACUAACUGGAGGACCGAACCGACUAAUGUUGAAAAAUUAGCGGAUGACCUGUGGCUGGGGGUGAAAGGCCAAUCAAACCGGGAGAUAGCUGGUUCUCCCCGAAAGCUAUUUAGGUAGCGCCUCGUGAACUCAUCUUCGGGGGUAGAGCACUGUUUCGGCUAGGGGGCCAUCCCGGCUUACCAACCCGAUGCAAACUACGAAUACCGAAGAAUGUUAUCACGGGAGACACACGGCGGGUGCUAACGUCCGUCGUGAAGAGGGAAACAACCCAGACCGCCAGCUAAGGUCCCAAAGUCAUGGUUAAGUGGGAAACGAUGUGGGAAGGCACAGACAGCCAGGAUGUUGGCUUAGAAGCAGCCAUCAUUUAAAGAAAGCGUAAUAGCUCACUGGUCGAGUCGGCCUGCGCGGAAGAUGUAACGGGGCUAAACCAUGCACCGAAGCUGCGGCAGCGACGCUUAUGUGUUGUUGGGUAGGGGAGCGUUCUGUAAGCCGUUGAAGGUGGCCUGUGAGGGUUGCUGGAGGUAUCAGAAGUGCGAAUGCUGACAUAAGUAACGAUAAAGCGGGUGAAAAGCCCGCUCGCCGGAAGACCAAGGGUUCCUGUCCAACGUUAAUCGGGGCAGGGUGAGUCGACCCCUAAGGCGAGGCCGAAAGGCGUAGUCGAUGGGAAACAGGUUAAUAUUCCUGUACUUGGUGUUACUGCGAAGGGGGGACGGAGAAGGCUAUGUCAGCCGGGCGACGGUUGUCCCGGUUUAAGCAUGUAGGCGGAGGUUCCAGGUAAAUCCGGUACCUUUUAACGCUGAGGUGUGAUGACGAGGCACUACGGUGCUGAAGUGAUAAAUGCCCUGCUUCCAGGAAAAGCCUCUAAGCAUCAGGUAACACGAAAUCGUACCCCAAACCGACACAGGUGGUCAGGUAGAGAAUACCAAGGCGCUUGAGAGAACUCGGGUGAAGGAACUAGGCAAAAUGGUGCCGUAACUUCGGGAGAAGGCACGCUGAUAUGUAGGUGAAGUCCCUGCGGACGGAGCUGAAAUCAGUCGAAGAUACCAGCUGGCUGCAACUGUUUAUUAAAAACACAGCACUGUGCAAACACGAAAGUGGACGUAUACGGUGUGACGCCUGCCCGGUGCCGGAAGGUUAAUUGAUGGGGUUAGCGGCAACGCGAAGCUCUUGAUCGAAGCCCCGGUAAACGGCGGCCGUAACUAUAACGGUCCUAAGGUAGCGAAAUUCCUUGUCGGGUAAGUUCCGACCUGCACGAAUGGCGUAAUGAUGGCCAGGCUGUCUCCACCCGAGACUCAGUGAAAUUGAACUCGCUGUGAAGAUGCAGUGUACCCGCGGCAAGACGGAAAGACCCCGUGAACCUUUACUAUAGCUUGACACUGAACACUGGUCCUUGAUGUGUAGGAUAGGUGGGAGGCUUUGAAGCGUGGACGCCAGUCUGCGUGGAGCCAACCUUGAAAUACCACCCUUUAAUGGCUGGUGUUCUAACGUAGACCCGUAAUCCGGGUUGCGGACAGUGUCUGGUGGGUAGUUUGACUGGGGCGGUCUCCUCCCAAAGAGUAACGGAGGAGCACGAAGGUUGGCUAAUCCUGGUCGGACAUCAGGAGGUUAGUGCAAUGGCAUAAGCCAGCUUGACUGCGAGCGUGACGGCGCGAGCAGGUGCGAAAGCAGGUCAUAGUGAUCCGGUGGUUCUGAAUGGAAGGGCCAUCGCUCAACGGAUAAAAGGUACUCCGGGGAUAACAGGCUGAUACCGCCCAAGAGUUCAUAUCGACGGCGGUGUUUGGCACCUCGAUGUCGGCUCAUCACAUCCUGGGGCUGAAGUAGGUCCCAAGGGUAUGGCUGUUCGCCAUUUAAAGUGGUACGCGAGCUGGGUUUAGAACGUCGUGAGACAGUUCGGUCCCUAUCUGCCGUGGGCGCUGGAGAAUUGAGGGGGGCUGCUCCUAGUACGAGAGGACCGGAGUGGACGCAUCACUGGUGUUCGGGUUGUCAUGCCAAUGGCACUGCCCGGUAGCUAAAUGCGGAAGAGAUAAGUGCUGAAAGCAUCUAAGCACGAAACUUGCCCCGAGAUGAGUUCUCCCUGAGACUUUAAGUCUCCUGAAGGAACGUUGAAGACGACGACGUUGAUAGGUCGGGUGUGUAAGCGCAGCGAUGCGUUGAGCUAACCGAUACUAAUGAACCGUGAGGCUUAACCUU